Molecule: ribosomal RNA, 483 nt
Filed under: uncultured bacterium
Lineage: Bacteria
Description: partial 16S ribosomal RNA
Rfam family: Bacterial small subunit ribosomal RNA
Source: RNAcentral
UUGCACGCUGGCGGCAGGCCUCACACAUGCAAGUCGCGCGGAUGAAGGGAGCUUGCUCCUGGAUUCAGCGGCGGACGGGUGAGUAAUGCCUAGGAAUCUGCCUGGUAGUGGGGGAUAACGUCCGGAAACGGGCGCUAAUACCGCAUACGUCCUGAGGGAGAAAGUGGGGGAUCUUCGGACCUCACGCUAUCAGAUGAGCCUAGGUCGGAUUAGCUAGUUGGUGGGGUAAAGGCCUACCAAGGCGACGAUCCGUAACUGGUCUGAGAGGAUGAUCAGUCACACUGGAACUGAGACACGGUCCAGACUCCUACGGGAGGCAGCAGUGGGGAAUAUUGGACAAUGGGCGAAAGCCUGAUCCAGCCAUGCCGCGUGUGUGAAGAAGGUCUUCGGAUUGUAAAGCACUUUAAGUUGGGAGGAAGGGCAGUAAGUUAAUACCUUGCUGUUUUGACGUUACCAGCAGAAUAAGCACCGGCUAACUUCGUG